RNAcentral lists this long non-coding RNA (6325 nucleotides) under Triticum aestivum (bread wheat). RNAcentral's name for it is "long non-coding RNA (TAES_LNC027459)". Lineage: Eukaryota; Viridiplantae; Streptophyta; Magnoliopsida; Poales; Poaceae. The record is from RNAcentral.
ACAGACAAACAUCGAUGACGAAAGGGGAUCAACAAGACAUGAACACAUAUAACCAUUAAACAUAUAACAGUGGGAUGAAACACGGCUAUAUGGCUGAAUAUAAAUGUUUCACAACACAAACUCACACACAAAUUUUUGUAUCACAAGUACUUGAGUAAACACAUAAACUUGAAACUGGAACAAAUUCACAAGGUUAGAUAGACAUAUAUGGUGACUCACAGACUACAAAUACACAACAAGAACACUUCAACUAGUGAGAACGCACAAUAUGUAAUACAAUAUUUAUAAGCAUGAAACUGAAUCAUUCACGGAUUGCAAGCAUUCAUAGAAUCUGAACAUUACAGGGCAUUACACAUCUCCUAUUACAGAAAUUCAGAGAGAGAGAGAGAGAGAGAGANNNNNNNNNNNNNNNNNNNNNNNNNNNNNNNNNNNNNNNNNNNNNNNNNNNNNNNNNNNNNNNNNNNNNNNNNNNNNNNNNNNNNNNNNNNNNNNNNNNNNNNNNNNNNNNNNNNNNNNNNNNNNNNNNNNNNNNNNNNNNNNNNNNNNNNNNNNNNNNNNNNNNNNNNNNNNNNNNNNNNNNNNNNNNNNNNNNNNNNNNNNNNNNNNNNNNNNNNNNNNNNNNNNNNNNNNNNNNNNNNNNNNNNNNNNNNNNNNNNNNNNNNNNNNNNNNNNNNNNNNNNNNNNNNNNNNNGUGGGUUCAGAGAAGGGGGAAGCAACGAGCAGCAGAGGGAGAUAGGCAAGGGAGCAGCGGCAGGAAGAUUAGAGAAGAACAACAGCAAAAGGGAUGAGGGGAGGAGCAGCAGCAGUUGGGAAGAGGCAAGGGAAGGAGGAGGAGCAGCUGUAGCGUAGGAGAAGAAGCAGCAGAGCGCAGUAGCAGCAGUAGGUUCAGAGGAGAGGGAGCAGCAGCAGUUCGGUUCAGAGAGAAGCAGAGGAAGUAGAGAUAGGAGAGCAACAGCAGGAAGGGAAAGGGAUCAGCAGAGACGUGGAGAAAGGGAGUAGCAGCAGGAAGGGAAAUGGGAAGAGAAGAGCAGCAAUGAGGGAAGGAGAAGAGCAGAAGGAGGGGCGUGGGAGAAGAAGCAGCAGCAGCCAGAGAGAAGUGGCGCGAGGGAGGAGCAGCAACAGGUGGAAGAGAGAAGAAGCAGCAGGGGCGGCAGCGGAGAGGAGCGCUCACGCGGAGGACCAGACACCCGUCUGAUCGGGCGCGCGAGGUGCGGCACUGGUGGAGUGACGGAUGGAUGAAUGGUGCGGUGAUGCUGGUGGACGGAUGAUGGAGUGGUGGCUGGAUGGAUGGCGCAGGUUGUGGAAAGGUCGUGUGAUGGUGGUGCUGGUGGAUGGAUGGGCUGCAGAGGCGCACCACCACGCCGGCCUGGCUGUGGCGGCGGCCGGUGGUGGAGAAGAAGGGGAGAGGGAGAGAGAUGAGAUGCCAGGCCCGAGGGGAAAAUGGAGGCUUGGCUAGGGAUUUUGACCCUCUCCUCAGAUCUGCACUUUUGCACUUCGGCCCUUCUACUUCUUUGCCUACUUCACAAGUUGAUCCCUCCACUCUUUCUUUCUUGCCCUUGAAGCUUUAAUAUUCAUCACACUCAAGUCCCUCUUCCUUCUCUUCUUUCAUAUGCUCAUCUCGAUUGCCACAUGCACAGAAACUUGUAGUUUAUAGUGCCUUUGCGCACAUUUCUGCAAGAUAGACCAAAGACUAGUAAAUAUCCUGUUUGAUGAUUAUCAAGCAAUAUUCAAUCAAUCAUGGCAAGAAUGGACGAAUAUGUCAUGAUAGAUGCUAUAUUUGAGUACCAAAAUUAUAUAUGUGAAAUAUACUUAUCAAGUUCCCCCACACUUAAACUUUUGCUUGUCCUCAAGCAAAGGCGUAUGACAAGAGCAAGAAUGUGAACAGUGAGCUGACUAGAGAAUACCAAGUGAAGAAGAUCUCAAAACAGUGCAUGCUUUGGACUUAGCUAGUGGAAAUUAAUGGUUAGGAGUGCUUCAAAGCGGUAGGUUACUAGUAAGCAUGACCAUUUUAAACUUUUACAAUGAUAAAAGAGGAUCAACAAGUUUAAAUGAUGACUGCGCCAAAUGGUUCCUAAUGAGAGCAUGAUCCCAAGAACAAAAUGAACUAGAAUUAAAUCUUGUGAUCAAAUCACUUAUUUACAGAGAUAAAGCAAUGAUUAUAUUAUUAUUAGUCUCACCAUAGGAACAUACCACCGAUCCCGAGAACAUGGUAUACACCUGGCUCGACCAAUUAUUAGUUUUUUUUUGUUUGUCUCCCCAAAGGAACAUACCACCGAUCCCGAGAACAUGGUAUACACCUGGUUCGACAAUUACAUUUUUUUAUUAUUAAUUACUGCCCAAGCUUACCCGAUUUCACAUGCCACCGAUCCUGGGAACAUGACAUGCUACUGUAGGUAGUCAGACUUAUUUAUUCAUUAUUACUUAUCUUAAAUGAAUAACGCAUAAGCACAAAAACAGGAAUCAUCACUUCUCCAUGUCUGGUUCACAUGCUACCGAUCCAGGGAACAUAGCAUGCUAAUCCAUAGUGGUUAGGUGAUUGCUCUCAAUGGGAACACAUUUAGCACAAAUUCAGCAUCUAAACAUGGUGAUCUAGGUGUAUCAAGGUAAAAGCAGAAAAUGAUCAAGUUUUCUAGUGUACUAGGGAUUUGAGCACUCAAAACUAAUAACCUUCACUAAUUUCAGCAAAGCAUGCAUGAUGUACAUCACUAGUUUACAAGGCAUUCAACACUCAGUUCACAUAUUCACAUCAAUCACCAUAUGUCAAAUAAAAUUCAGUGGGGCAACAUUUAAGACAUGGCUUAAGCAACCCAAAUAACAUUUGAUUUCAGCAUGUAUCAAUGGAUGAUAUACUCGGAAUGGGUCAUGAAACAACUCACCGGGCUUUGAUGAUGUAGCACUCGCUCGAUCACCUCACCAACUGCAGCUCCUCUCCUUUGCUUCCUCGUGCAUUGUGACUCCUCUCCUAUUGCUUCCCUAUCCUCAUGCCUGCUCCAGCUUCUCUCUUCAUGUGUGCUCCUUGCUUCUCCUCAUCCCCAUGCCAUAGGUCCACCGGGGUCCCAGGGAAUGUCAUCUCGAACUUGGUCAGCAUGUAGUGGAUCGUGCACAAGCAAGAACCUGAAAGAGCACUCAACGAAAGAGACAAUGCAAGUGGUAGGGAUAAUACCCUCCAAGUCAUCAAUCGAAUAUCCAAUUACAUAAGCAUAGCUAUAAAGCACAUGUUUAGGAUGGUAGAAAUCAACAAGGUCAACACUAACAUGAGGAUGAUAUUUAUCAUUAAGCUCAAGACUAGCAUGGGAGUGAUAUGUUUCAUUAAGCAUAGGACUAGCACGAGGAAAGUAACUAUGAUCAUCACAAAUGAGAGUAAUGCCACUAAAAGGGUAUAUAUCAUCAUAUCCAAGCAAAUGAGUUUUUAAAUCAAUCUUAAGUGAUGGUAUCAUGUAAUGCAAGGUAGUAGCAAAGAAAUCACAAGGCAUCAUGUCAUCAAGAGGAUUGAGUAAACCUGACACGUCACGCUCUGGUAUGACAAUAGGCAAAUGAAUCUCAUGUUCUUCAUCUUCAUCUACAACAGCUUCUUGUACUUCUUCAGUAGUAGAUGAUGAGUCUUCAACUUGAUCACUUGGGAAUUGCAGCUCUUGAUCAUCCUGUUCCUUGUCUUCUAGUUCAUCUUCUUCAAUCUGGGGUCUUUCUUCCUCUGGACUCUUGCUAUCUUGCUCAACUGGAUGUGACGGUGUUGGAACCUCACAUGUAUCAAGGGGAAUCUCGGCAACACUCAGCUCUAGCUGUGAAGAAAUAGUGUUGCUCGCGUUGAUGUUCUUCUCAAUCUUCCUUACUUCUUCCACUAGCUCUUUUCCACUCUUGAUCUUCUUCAUUUCAUCUAGUAUCACCGGCCUAAUUGGAUCAUCUUCAGCACUCCAAGUGAACUCGAGACCAAGCAAUGUGAGCUUGUCUAUAUCCUCAAAGUCAUCUUGUGUGGGCACUUGUGUUGAAGAUGUUGGUUGACCAAAUGAAGGACCAUUUAACUCCAUUGGCAACAUGUCCUGGUGUUGAGGUAUAUGAGUAGGAGCUGAAUAAAUCUGUUGUGGAGCAUAAUUGUGGCUCUCCUCUUCAUACCUAAAUCCCUGCAUUGGAUAACUAGAGGCAAACGAUGAGAUCUCAGGGUUAUUGCUCCUAUAUGACAUAUUCUGGUUUUCAGGCCACCCAUGUGUGUAAUUGUUUUGGUAUGAGCUAGGCUGUGGAGCGAACCUCAUGCCAUAACAAUCGGGAGGGUGAGAGUAACCACGCUGGCAUUCAGCGGGUGAAUGGCCCUGAAAUCCACAAAUAUGGCAUGUAGGAGCAACAUAAGGAUGACCUCUAGAAUAAGGAUCAUAAGAGCUAGGCCUAUCCUCAAAAACUACUUCUCGCUGCCGAGCUAAAUCAUCUAAUCGAUGGGAAAUCUUACCUAUCAGUUCUUGAAUACUUUCCGUGUUGUUUGUAGUGUUGCUCGCAUAAGCCUGAUGAUCUGAAUAGUAAGCCAUAACCGAGAAGAUAGUUCUAACCUACAAAAAGGAAAAGAAAACAAAGAGAAAAUAAACUAGAACAAGGGUUAGGAGUUAGAGAUAUAUCACAAAUAUAUAAAGCACAAAAAGGAAACAAGCUAAACCUAGUCUAAAGCCUCACACAAAUGCUCGACGCUAGUCCCCGGCAACGGCGCCAAAAUGAUCAAUUUGUAAUAUAGCAGGGUUUUUUUAGCCCAAACUACGAAUGUCGUGUUCUCCACAGGGACUAUGCGACGGCAACUAUGCUCGGCUAAAGCUAGGUGACACGAUGUUUGGUGACAAAAACAGAAAAUAAAACCUAACCUAAACAAGGUAGUUCCCGAAGAUCAUCGCCAAAGAAAAUGCAAAAUAAGCAAAGGUACAUUUAGAUUAUACUCUGUCUUUUUGGUAUUUUUAUUAGGCUUGAGUAAUUAAAGCACUAACACAGACAAACAUCGAUGACGAAAGGGGAUCAACAAGACAUGAACACAUAUAACCAUUAAACAUAUAACAGUGGGAUGAAACACGGCUAUAUGGCUGAAUAUAAAUGUUUCACAACACAAACUCACACACAAAAUUUUGUAUCACAAGUACUUAAGUAAACACAUAAACUUGAAACUGGAACAAAUUCACAAGGUUAGAUAGACAUAUAUGGUGACUGACAGACUACAAAUACACAACAAGAACACUUCAACUAGUGAGAACGCACAAUAUGUAAUACAAUAUUUAUAAGCAUGAAACUGAAUCAUUCACGGAUUGCAAGCAUUCAUAGAAUCUGAACAUUACAGGGCAUUACACAUCUCCUAUUACAGAAAUUCAGAGAGAGAGAGAGAGAGAGAGAGAGAGAGAGAGAGAGAGAGAGAGAGAGAGAGAGAGAAGAUUCAGAUUCAGAGAAGUGCAGCAACAAGAUUCGUGGGUUCAGAGAAGGGGGAAGCAACGAGCAGCAGAGGGAGAUAGGCAAGGGAGCAGUGGCAGGAAGAUUAGAGAAGAAUAACAGCAAAAGGGACGAGGGGAGGAGCAGCAGCAGUUGGGAAGAGGCAAGGGAAGGAGGAGGAGCAGCUGUAGCGUAGGAGAAGAAGCAGCAGAGCGCAGUAGCAGCAGUAGGUUCAGAGGAGAGGGAGCAGCAGCAGUUCGGUUCAGAGAGAAGCAGAGGAAGUAGAGAUAGGAGAGCAGCAGCAGGAAGGGAAAGGGAGCAGCAGAGACGUGGAGAAAGGGAGUAGCAGCAGGAAGGGAAAGGGGAAGAGAAGAGGAGCAGUGAGGGAAGGAGAAGAGCAGCAGGAGGGGCAUGGGAGAAGAAGCAGCAGCAUCCAGAGAGAAGUGGCGCGAGGGAGGAGCAGCAACAGGUGGAAGAGAGAAGAAGCAGCAGGGGCGGCAGCGGAGAGGAGCGCUCACGCGGAGGACCAGACGCCCGUCUGAUCGGGCGCGCGAGGUGCGGCGCUGGUGGAGUGGCGGAUGGAUGAAUGGUGCGGUGAUGCUGGUGGACGGAUGAUGGAGUGGUGGCUGGAUGGAUGGCGCAGGUUGUGGAGUGGUCGUGUGAUGGUGGUGCUGCUGGAUGGAUGGGCUGCGGAGGCGCACCACCACGCCGGCCUGGCCGUGGCGGCGGCCGGUGGUGGACAAGAAGGGGAGAGGGAGAGAGAUGAGAUGCCAUGCCCGACGGGAAAAUGGAGGCUGCGCUAGGGAUUUUGACCCUCUCCUCAGAUCUGCACUUUUGCACUUCGGCCCUUCUAUUUCUCUGCCUACUUCACAAGUUGAUCCCUCCACUCUUUCUUUCUUGCCCUUGAAGCUUUAAUAUUCAUCACACUCAAGUCCCU